This 1164-nucleotide ribosomal RNA is filed under the name Salmonella enterica subsp. enterica serovar Liverpool. Its description in RNAcentral is "partial 23S ribosomal RNA". It matches the Rfam family "Bacterial large subunit ribosomal RNA", at positions 416 to 1503 of the family's 2925-position model. The record is from RNAcentral. Lineage: Bacteria; Pseudomonadati; Pseudomonadota; Gammaproteobacteria; Enterobacterales; Enterobacteriaceae.
GGCGGGACACGUGGUAUCCUGUCUGAAUAUGGGGGGACCAUCCUCCAAGGCUAAAUACUCCUGACUGACCGAUAGUGAACCAGUACCGUGAGGGAAAGGCGAAAAGAACCCCGGCGAGGGGAGUGAAAAAGAACCUGAAACCGUGUACGUACAAGCAGUGGGAGCACCCUUUGGGGUGUGACUGCGUACCUUUUGUAUAAUGGGUCAGCGACUUAUAUUCUGUAGCAAGGUUAACCGUAUAGGGGAGCCGAAGGGAAACCGAGUCUUAAUUGGGCGUUAAGUUGCAGGGUAUAGACCCGAAACCCGGUGAUCUAGCCAUGGGCAGGUUGAAGGUUGGGUAACACUAACUGGAGGACCGAACCGACUAAUGUUGAAAAAUUAGCGGAUGACCUGUGGCUGGGGGUGAAAGGCCAAUCAAACCGGGAGAUAGCUGGUUCUCCCCGAAAGCUAUUUAGGUAGCGCCUCGUGAAUUCAUCUCCGGGGGUAGAGCACUGUUUCGGCUAGGGGGCCAUCCCGGCUUACCAACCCGAUGCAAACUGCGAAUACCGGAGAAUGUUAUCACGGGAGACACACGGCGGGUGCUAACGUCCGUCGUGAAGAGGGAAACAACCCAGACCGCCAGCUAAGGUCCCAAAGUCAUGGUUAAGUGGGAAACGAUGUGGGAAGGCCCAGACAGCCAGGAUGUUGGCUUAGAAGCAGCCAUCAUUUAAAGAAAGCGUAAUAGCUCACUGGUCGAGUCGGCCUGCGCGGAAGAUGUAACGGGGCUAAACCAUGCACCGAAGCUGCGGCAGCGAACGUAUCACUUAAAGCGAUUCAGCGGGUUACGAUUGACGGAGCGAAGCGACGUCAAAGCGUAUACAAAGUCGAGUCGGUUUAAGGAUACGUUCGUUGGGUAGGGGAGCGUUCUGUAAGCCUGUGAAGGUGGCCUGUGAGGGUUGCUGGAGGUAUCAGAAGUGCGAAUGCUGACAUAAGUAACGAUAAAGCGGGUGAAAAGCCCGCUCGCCGGAAGACCAAGGGUUCCUGUCCAACGUUAAUCGGGGCAGGGUGAGUCGACCCCUAAGGCGAGGCCGAAAGGCGUAGUCGAUGGGAAACGGGUUAAUAUUCCCGUACUUGGUGUUACUGCGAAGGGGGGACGGAGAAGGCUAUGUUGGCCGGGCGACGGUU